This 245-nucleotide ribosomal RNA is filed under the name uncultured bacterium. Its description in RNAcentral is "partial 16S ribosomal RNA". It matches the Rfam family "Bacterial small subunit ribosomal RNA", at positions 524 to 768 of the family's 1533-position model. The record is from RNAcentral.
AACGUAGGGGGCCAGCGUUGCUCGGAAUUACUGGGCGUAAAGGGUCCGUAGGCGGUGCGGCAAGUCGGAAGUGAAAUCUCUGGGCUUAACCCAGAGGCUGCUCCCGAAACUGCCGUGCUCGAGUGCGAGAGAGGCGAGCGGAAUUGCGGGUGUAGCGGUGAAAUGCGUAGAUAUCCGCAGGAACAUCCGAGGCGAAAGCGGCUCGCUGGAUCGCAACUGACGCUGAGGGACGAAAGCUAGGGGAG